Molecule: small nuclear RNA, 107 nt
Filed under: Notamacropus eugenii (tammar wallaby)
Lineage: Eukaryota; Metazoa; Chordata; Mammalia; Diprotodontia; Macropodidae
Source: RNAcentral
AUGCUUUCUUUGGCACCACAUAUAAUAAAAUUGAAACAAUACCGAGAAAAUUAGCAUGGCCCUUGCACAAAGAUGAUAGGCAAUUUUGUGAAGUGAGCAGAACCAGA